Molecule: long non-coding RNA, 329 nt
Filed under: Polistes fuscatus (common paper wasp)
Lineage: Eukaryota; Metazoa; Arthropoda; Insecta; Hymenoptera; Vespidae
Description: uncharacterized LOC122514831
Source: RNAcentral
CCUGUCCAGCUGUUACUUGAUCGUUCCUGUUACCUUCUUGAGCGGUGGACAAUCCGAAGAAGAGGCCUCGGUGAACUUGAAUGCCAUCAGGAAGGAUUUCGGGCUCAACAAUCGAACGCAUCUCCACUUGGCGAAAUGACAGCUAUCCUUCUGUACUGGACGCAACGUGCUUGGAGGUGAACUAUCUGGAGUGGUUAUCGGUGAACCCAACAGUGUAGCUGGUAAAGAUUUACUUCCUUUAUUUAGAUUUAUUUCUUCUUCGACCAGUGUCACAGAAGAUUGUGGUUUGUUAAACUUAUUAGACAUCAUUUGGUUAGCUACAUGAACAA